GCCCCAGUAGCUCAGCGGUAGAGCGGCCGACUUGUAAUCGGCAGGUCAAGGGUUCGAAUCCCUUCUGGGGCU
Molecule: transfer RNA, 72 nt
Filed under: Microcaldota archaeon
Lineage: Archaea; Nanobdellati; Microcaldota
Description: Candidatus Micrarchaeota archaeon (hot springs metagenome) tRNA-Thr
Rfam family: tRNA
About the family: Transfer RNA (tRNA) molecules are approximately 80 nucleotides in length.
Source: RNAcentral